UCCAGACUCCUACGGGAGGCAGCAGUGGGGAAUAUUGGACAAUGGGGGGAACCCUGAUCCAGCGACGCCGCGUGAGUGAAGAAGUAUUUCGGUAUGUAAAGCUCUAUCAGCAGGGAAGAAAGAAAUGACGGUACCUGACUAAGAAGCCCCGGCUAACUACGUGCCAGCAGCCGCGGUAAUACGGAGGAUGCGAGCGUUAUCCGGAUUUAUUGGGUUUAAAGGGUGCGUAGGCGGAAUGCCAAGUCAGCGGUAAAAUCGCGGGGCUAAACCUCGCUCCGCCGUUGAAACUGGCGUUCUUGAGUGGGCGAGAAGUAUGCGGAAUGCGUGGUGUAGCGGUGAAAUGCAUAGAUAUCACGCAGAACUCCGAUUACGAAGGCAGCAUACCGGCGCCCAACUGACGCUGAAGCACGAAAGCGUGGGUAUCGAACAGGAUUAGAUACCCGCGUAA
This 448-nucleotide ribosomal RNA is filed under the name uncultured bacterium. Its description in RNAcentral is "bacterial SSU rRNA". It matches the Rfam family "Bacterial small subunit ribosomal RNA", at positions 330 to 793 of the family's 1533-position model. The record is from RNAcentral.